GAAAAUGACUCUCGGCAACGGAUAUCUCGGCUCUUGCAUCGAUGAAGAACGUAGCGAAAUGCGAUACUUGGUGUGAAUUGCAGAAUCCCGUGAACCAUCGAGUCUUUGAACGCAAGUUGCGCCCGAAGCCAUUUGGUUGAGGGCACGCCUGCCUGGGUGUCGCG
RNAcentral lists this ribosomal RNA (164 nucleotides) under Warneckea pulcherrima. Its description in RNAcentral is "5.8S ribosomal RNA". It matches the Rfam family "5.8S ribosomal RNA". Rfam says of the family: 5.8S ribosomal RNA (5.8S rRNA) is a component of the large subunit of the eukaryotic ribosome. It is transcribed by RNA polymerase I as part of the 45S precursor that also contains 18S and 28S rRNA. Lineage: Eukaryota; Viridiplantae; Streptophyta; Magnoliopsida; Myrtales; Melastomataceae. The record is from RNAcentral.